Molecule: non-coding RNA, 137 nt
Organism: Schistosoma mattheei
Lineage: Eukaryota; Metazoa; Platyhelminthes; Trematoda; Strigeidida; Schistosomatidae
Source: Rfam
AUAGUUACCUGGCGCCGAGUUGAGGGUGAUCAGGAACGCUCUGACUCCCGCGUGGAAGCUCACCAUUGCACCAUGGUGAGUUGAAACUCACGACGACCCUUAAUCAGGUGAGCUCGGGCGUGUAGUUUUUUACGAAC